Molecule: ribosomal RNA, 995 nt
Filed under: uncultured bacterium
Lineage: Bacteria
Description: bacterial SSU rRNA
Rfam family: Bacterial small subunit ribosomal RNA
Source: RNAcentral
UGGGGAAUAUUGCACAAUGGGGGAAACCCUGAUGCAGCGACGCCGCGUGGAGGAAGAAGGUCUUCGGAUUGUAAACUCCUGUUGUUGAGGAAGAUAAUGACGGUACUCAACAAGGAAGUGACGGCUAACUACGUGCCAGCAGCCGCGGUAAAACGUAGGUCACAAGCGUUGUCCGGAAUUACUGGGUGUAAAGGGAGCGCAGGCGGGAAGACAAGUUGGAAGUGAAAACCAUGGGCUCAACCCAUGAAUUGCUUUCAAAACUGUUUUUCUUGAGUAGUGCAGAGGUAGAUGGAAUUCCCGGUGUAGCGGUGGAAUGCGUAGAUAUCGGGAGGAACACCAGUGGCGAAGGCGGUCUACUGGGCACCAACUGACGCUGAGGCUCGAAAGCAUGGGUAGCAAACAGGAUUAGAUACCCUGGUAGUCCAUGCCGUAAACGAUGAUUACUAGGUGUUGGAGGAUUGACCCCUUCAGUGCCGCAGUUAACACAAUAAGUAAUCCACCUGGGGAGUACGACCGCAAGGUUGAAACUCAAAGGAAUUGACGGGGGCCCGCACAAGCAGUGGAGUAUGUGGUUUAAUUCGACGCAACGCGAAGAACCUUACCAAGUCUUGACAUCCUGCGACGAUGCUGGAAACAGUAUUUUCCUUCGGGACGCAGAGACAGGUGGUGCAUGGUUGUCGUCAGCUCGUGUCGUGAGAUGUUGGGUUAAGUCCCGCAACGAGCGCAACCCUUAUGGUCAGUUACUACGCAAGAGGACUCUGGCCAGACUGCCGUUGACAAAACGGAGGAAGGUGGGGAUGACGUCAAAUCAUCAUGCCCUUUAUGACUUGGGCUACACACGUACUACAAUGGCGUUAAACAAAGAGAAGCAAGACCGCGAGGUGGAGCAAAACUCAGAAACAACGUCCCAGUUCGGACUGCAGGCUGCAACUCGCCUGCACGAAGUCGGAAUUGCUAGUAAUCGUGGAUCAGCAUGCCACGGUGAAUACGUUCCC